UGAACGCUGGCGGCGUGCUUAACACAUGCAAGUCGAACGAUGAAGCUACUGCUUGCAGUAGCGGAUUAGUGGCGCACGGGUGAGUAAUAUAUAGAUAAUGUGCCUCUUAGUCUGGGAUAGCCAUUGGAAACGAUGAUUAAUACUAGAUACUCCUUCUCAUUCUAAUAUGAGUUGGGAAAGUUUUUCGCUAAGAGAUCAGUCUAUAUCCCAUCAGCUUGUUGGUAGUGUAAGAGACUACCAAGGCAAUGACGGGUAGCGGGUUUGAGAGGAUGAUCCGCCACACUGGUACUGAGACACGGACCAGACUCCUACGGGAGGCAGCAGUGAGGAAUAUUGCACAAUGGGGGAAACCCUGAUGCAGCAACGCCGCGUGGAGGAUGACGCAUUUCGGUGUGUAAACUCCUUUUAUGAGUCAAGAAAAUGACGGUAGCUCAUGAAUAAGCACCGGCUAACUCC
Molecule: ribosomal RNA, 456 nt
Filed under: uncultured bacterium
Lineage: Bacteria
Description: bacterial SSU rRNA
Rfam family: Bacterial small subunit ribosomal RNA
Source: RNAcentral